CUCCUCCGGCCGCCUCACGGAUAAGGAUCAAAGGAUCCACUAGCAUGCCUGGCCGUAACCAAGACAAAACUGUUGGAUAAAGAAGAUUGAACGAGUCUUGGAUAAAGAAGAUUGAACGAGUCGGCUUAGAUGAAUCGAUUUUGGAAUAGCUGGGACUUAGUUCGAGUCGGACUCGAGGCCCCCUCCUUUUCUUUAACCAGAGGGGGCAGCUCGUACCUGUAUAAAUAGUGUGUAUAUAUCCGAGUACCGGGUCCUCGAUCUCAAUAAUUUCGGAAGAGCGAGCUCGCACCUUCAGAAAUAUAAGCCCGGUCGACCAUUGGGUUACUGACAGAACGAUUAGUAUUACCCAUGGCGUUAAAUAACAGAGACAGUAUUGGAACUGAAGACGAAGAAGAUAGGCUCAGCUUGCUGACUGAUGAUACUUUAUUGUCUAUUUUGGGCAGAGUCGACUUACCAACAGCUGCUAGGACUAGUGUACUGUCAACACGGUGGAAACAUCUGCCUUGGUUGCUCCCUGAGCUUACCAUCGAUGUGAAAGAUUUCUUACCUUCCCCGCACCCAAAACCAAUGGAGGUUGAGCACAUGGACAAAGCAAUGUCAUCUUUAUCUAAUGCUAUCAGGAGCUUCUUGGUUGCUGAACGUGCAGUCACAAGGCUCCAACUAAGGGUCUACUUGGUUAGUGAACAUUCACUAGUUGUUGGCCCUU
Molecule: long non-coding RNA, 706 nt
Organism: Lolium rigidum
Lineage: Eukaryota; Viridiplantae; Streptophyta; Magnoliopsida; Poales; Poaceae
Exons: 3
Source: RefSeq, a predicted model, not a curated record